UGAUUUGUUACUCUUCAUCUUGCCUGAACAGAAGACGAAAUCUGGGUAGAUUCUCAGUCUCCCAGUUCAUCGUACUUCCCCAGCAGAAGUGGAGGAGGAAUAAGAAAAGAAGAAACAAGUUUUCUUUGCAGAUUCUCAAUCAACCAGGGCUUUGCAAUGCCACGACAACUUGACGUGAGCCGAAGAGAAAAAAAAAA
Hippocampus comes (tiger tail seahorse) is the source of this 197-nucleotide long non-coding RNA. RefSeq lists it as uncharacterized. The record is from RefSeq and is a predicted model, not a curated record. Lineage: Eukaryota; Metazoa; Chordata; Actinopteri; Syngnathiformes; Syngnathidae. The transcript is spliced from 2 exons.